This is a non-coding RNA of Schizosaccharomyces pombe (fission yeast), 258 nucleotides long. The record is from the annotation of a GenBank genome assembly. Lineage: Eukaryota; Fungi; Ascomycota; Schizosaccharomycetes; Schizosaccharomycetales; Schizosaccharomycetaceae.
UCCAUGGUGUUUGAUAUUCAUUCUCUAAAUUGGUAGAACUUUUCGGAAUUACAGUCUUAGCAUAUUCAGGACUGUUGGGCUUUAAAAACGUUGGGGGCUUUUUUGUCGCUAUUGGAGGAGCUUGACUAAAAGCCUUGCAACUAUCACUAUCUUCAUUAUUUUUGAUCGGAAUAGGUCUUUGAAUUGUAGAUUUGAAACCAAGUGGGUUUGCCGAAGUAGUAACCGUAGCGGGGAGAGCCAAGAAACCUUUUAAUAAAG